RNAcentral lists this ribosomal RNA (223 nucleotides) under uncultured Bacillota bacterium. Its description in RNAcentral is "uncultured Firmicutes bacterium partial 16S ribosomal RNA". It matches the Rfam family "Bacterial small subunit ribosomal RNA", at positions 552 to 774 of the family's 1533-position model. Lineage: Bacteria; Bacillati; Bacillota. The record is from RNAcentral.
AUAUUGGGCGUAAGCGCGCGCAGGCGGUUCCUUAAGUCUGAUGUGAAAUCUCGCGGCUCAACCGCGAGCGGCCAUUGGAAACUGGGGAACUUGAGUGCAGGAGAGGGGAGCGGAAUUCCACGUGUAGCGGUGAAAUGCGUAGAGAUGUGGAGGAACACCAGUGGCGAAGGCGGCUCUCUGGUCUGUAACUGACGCUGAGGCGCGAAAGCGUGGGGAGCGAACA